This 519-nucleotide ribosomal RNA is filed under the name uncultured bacterium. RNAcentral describes it as "bacterial SSU rRNA". It matches the Rfam family "Bacterial small subunit ribosomal RNA", at positions 990 to 1509 of the family's 1533-position model. The record is from RNAcentral.
AGAACUUAGCAGAGAUUGCUUUUGGUGCCUUCGGGAACUCUGAGACAGGUGCUGCAUGGCUGUCGUCAGCUCGUGUUGUGAAAUGUUGGGUUAAGUCCCGCAACGAGCGCAACCCUUAUCCUUUGUUGCCAGCGGUCCGGCCGGGAACUCAAAGGAGACUGCCAGUGAUAAACUGGAGGAAGGUGGGGAUGACGUCAAGUCAUCAUGGCCCUUACGAGUAGGGCUACACACGUGCUACAAUGGCGCAUACAAAGAGAAGCGACCUCGCGAGAGCAAGCGGACCUCAUAAAGUGCGUCGUAGUCCGGAUUGGAGUCUGCAACUCGACUCCAUGAAGUCGGAAUCGCUAGUAAUCGUAGAUCAGAAUGCUACGGUGAAUACGUUCCCGGGCCUUGUACACACCGCCCGUCACACCAUGGGAGUGGGUUGCAAAAGAAGUAGGUAGCUUAACCUUCGGGAGGGCGCUUACCACUUUGUGAUUCAUGACUGGGGUGAAGUCGUAACAAGGUAAGCGUAGCGAG